GCGGUGGUGGUGGCGGCCGCUGGCCAGUGUAAGAUGGCGGCGGCGUUGGUGGUGGCAGUGGACGGGGCGGCUGGGCCUGGAACAGUCGGAGCAGCCGCUAGCAGAAGGAUGACCCAAGACGGGAAGCGGGCUGCUGAGCCUCGCCGAUUCCCGUGCUUGUAACUGCCCCAGCCGGACACCCCCCCUCCCUUGACCUACCCGGUCUGUGUCUCGUUCCGGCUCGGCCUGCGCCCCCCCUCGCUUCCCAGCCGGUUUCCCCUAAGGAUGGGCCUGACCCGUAUCCCAAGCUCUUAGCGCUCAGGUCUUUUCCUUCCGCCGACCCGAAGUCAUCGCUGGGAGUACUGGUUGCCCUUUCCUCAGGCUGGCUACAGCAAACAUCAUUCAAGAUGUCCAGCAAAGGGAGCAGCACAGAUGGCAGAACAGACUUAGCUAAUGGAAGCCUGUCUAGCAGUCCAGAGGAGAUGUCUGGAGCUGAAGAGGGGAGGGAGACAUCCUCAGGCAUUGAAGUGGAGGCCUCAGACCUGAGUUUGAGCUUGACUGGGGAUGAUGGUGGCCCCAACCGCACCAGCACAGAAAGUCGAGGCACAGACACAGAGAGCUCAGGUGAAGAUAAGGACUCUGACAGCAUGGAGGACACUGGUCAUUACUCCAUUAAUGAUGAAAAUCGAGUCCAUGACCGCUCAGAGGAAGAGG
This 693-nucleotide long non-coding RNA is filed under the name Homo sapiens (human). RNAcentral describes it as "long non-coding RNA NONHSAT152439.1". The record is from RNAcentral. Lineage: Eukaryota; Metazoa; Chordata; Mammalia; Primates; Hominidae.